UACAGAGGGUGCAAGCGUUGUUCGGAAUUAUUGGGCGUAAAGCGCGUGUAGGCGGCCGUGCAAGUCGCGUGUGAAAGCCCCCGGCUCAACUGGGGAGGGUCACGCGAUACUGAUCGACUCGAAGGCAGGAGAGGGAAGUGGAAUUCCCGGUGUAGUGGUGAAAUGCGUAGAUAUCGGGAGGAACACCUGUGGCGAAGGCGGCCCCCUGGGCCGGCCCUGACACUGAGACGCGAAGGCGUGGGGAGCGAACGGG
RNAcentral lists this ribosomal RNA (253 nucleotides) under uncultured bacterium. RNAcentral describes it as "partial 16S ribosomal RNA". It matches the Rfam family "Bacterial small subunit ribosomal RNA", at positions 524 to 776 of the family's 1533-position model. The record is from RNAcentral.